Molecule: ribosomal RNA, 1341 nt
Filed under: uncultured bacterium
Lineage: Bacteria
Description: partial 16S ribosomal RNA
Rfam family: Bacterial small subunit ribosomal RNA
Source: RNAcentral
GACGAACGCUGGCGGCGUGCUUAACACAUGCAAGUCGAACGGUAAGGCUCCAGCUUGCUGGGGUACACGAGUGGCGAACGGGUGAGUAACACGUGGGUGACCUGCCCUGCACUUCGGGAUAAGCCUGGGAAACUGGGUCUAAUACCGGAUAGGACUGCACCGUGAGGGUGUGGUGGAAAGUUUUUUCGGUGUGGGAUGGGCCCGCGGCCUAUCAGCUUGUUGGUGGGGUAAUGGCCUACCAAGGCGGCGACGGGUAGCCGGCCUGAGAGGGUGGACGGCCACAUUGGGACUGAGACACGGCCCAGACUCCUACGGGAGGCAGCAGUGGGGAAUAUUGCACAAUGGGCGGAAGCCUGAUGCAGCGACGCCGCGUGGGGGAUGACGGCCUUCGGGUUGUAAACUCCUUUCACCAUCGACGAAGGGUUUCUGACGGUAGAUGGAGAAGAAGCACCGGCUAACUACGUGCCAGCAGCCGCGGUAAUACGUAGGGUGCGAGCGUUGUCCGGAAUUACUGGGCGUAAAGAGCUCGUAGGUGGUUUGUCGCGUCGUCUGUGAAAUUCCGGGGCUUAACUCCGGGCGUGCAGACGAUACGGGCAUAACUUGAGUACUGUAGGGGAGACUGGAAUUCCUGGUGUAGCGGUGAAAUGCGCAGAUAUCAGGAGGAACACCGGUGGCGAAGGCGGGUCUCUGGGCAGUAACUGACGCUGAGGAGCGAAAGCAUGGGGAGCGAACAGGAUUAGAUACCCUGGUAGUCCAUGCCGUAAACGGUGGGCGCUAGGUGUGGGUUUCCUUCCACGGGAUCCGUGCCGUAGCUAACGCAUUAAGCGCCCCGCCUGGGGAGUACGGCCGCAAGGCUAAAACUCAAAGGAAUUGACGGGGGCCCGCACAAGCGGCGGAGCAUGUGGAUUAAUUCGAUGCAACGCGAAGAACCUUACCUGGGCUUGACAUAUACAGGAUCGCGCCAGAGAUGGUGUUUCCCUUGUGGCUUGUAUACAGGUGGUGCAUGGUUGUCGUCAGCUCGUGUCGUGAGAUGUUGGGUUAAGUCCCGCAACGAGCGCAACCCUUGUCUUAUGUUGCCAGCACGUUGUGGUGGGGACUCGUAAGAAACUGCCGGGGUUAACUCGGAGGAAGGUGGGGAUGACGUCAAAUCAUCAUGCCCCUCAUGUCCAGGGCUUCACACAUGCUACAAUGGUCGGUACAGUGGGUUGCCAGUCCGUGAGGGCGAGCUAAUCCCGCAAAGCCGGUCUCAGUUCGGAUCGGGGUCUGCAACUCGACCCCGUGAAGUCGGAGUCGCUAGUAAUCGCAGAUCAGCAACGCUGCGGUGAAUACGUUCCCGGGCCU